RNAcentral lists this unclassified non-coding RNA (303 nucleotides) under Hevea brasiliensis (rubber tree). Lineage: Eukaryota; Viridiplantae; Streptophyta; Magnoliopsida; Malpighiales; Euphorbiaceae. The record is from RNAcentral.
GUAUGCUAGUUAAGGAGCAUCUCAAGCUUCCCCUCUCACAAGCACAGGCAUUUGUGGAUAUACCAUGCAGCUUAGGUUGUUACACUAAUAUAUUUGGUAUAGGAGUUAGUUUCAUUUUAUUAGAAUUGCAAAAUAUUGCUAUUUAAAUGCUUAUUAGUUUACUAGACAGAAUUUGGAACAUAGAAUAGUUUUUAAGACAUUAAUAUAUAUAACAAUUGAAUUUUAUUUUAUUUGGAUCGCAAAAAUAUUUAACCUUUUUUUUCUAUGGUUAUUAAUAUGUUGUAGAUUGGUAAUUUUGAUAAG